UACAGAGGUCCCAAGCGUUGUUCGGAUUCACUGGGCGUAAAGGGUGCGUAGGUGGCCGGGUAAGUCUGACGUGAAAUCUCCAAGCUUAACUUGGAAACUGCGUCGGAUACUAUCGGGCUUGAGGAAUGGAGGGGAGACUGGAAUGCUCGGUGUAGCAGUGAAAUGCGUAGAUAUCGAGCGGAACACCAGUGGCGAAGGCGAGUCUCUGGACAUUUCCUGACACUGAGGCACGAAAGCCAGGGGAGCAAACGGG
This 253-nucleotide ribosomal RNA is filed under the name uncultured bacterium. RNAcentral describes it as "partial 16S ribosomal RNA". It matches the Rfam family "Bacterial small subunit ribosomal RNA", at positions 524 to 776 of the family's 1533-position model. The record is from RNAcentral.